GGAUGAGGCUUGGGAAAUAG
RNAcentral lists this transfer RNA (20 nucleotides) under Lachnaea ericoides. RNAcentral describes it as "partial transfer RNA-Phe". The record is from RNAcentral. Lineage: Eukaryota; Viridiplantae; Streptophyta; Magnoliopsida; Malvales; Thymelaeaceae.